AUUUGUAUAAAGCAGGAUGGUGCAGUAUUCUAGUCGGCCCUCCGUUUCUGAAGGCGGGCCUAAAAAUCCGCCAUAGGGCACAUCGAUGAAGUUCCUUGUGUCGGCUUGGGGCGCCCAGCCUUGGGUCGAUGCUGGGAGUUAAGGUUGCAGGGCGAUCCACAAAGGCAUGUGGGCGUUGACCCUGCUUCCGCGGAGGCCCAUUCUUGUAGGGAUUGCUAUCACGCAUGACCUAUGAAAUGGGGUAUGAACCUACGUGAUCGUUUUCGAUGGGAAUAACGAUCCGUAGCGUAGCCUGCCUUGAGUGGCUCUGAGGGGAUUAUGGCAUCUAGAGUCAACGCUUGAUGGCCACUAGCGUUGGCUCUCCAACGCCAUAUGAAAUCAGCGCUGCAAAAGAGGCUAGGGAACGGCCAAAGGCUGCCGAGGAAAACUCCUAGACUGUUCGUUGGACAAUCAACAGGGAUUAUAGUGUGGACUAAGUGGUAAUCCAGUCUAGUUACCGGUGACGGACUAAGUUGGGUUUAAAGGGGAACCGCCGAUGUGGCAACACACGGUACCCAACUGGGAAAACCUACUGGACCUAAGCCGCAGUUUUUACCUGUUGAUUGACCAUCCUGUCUUACAUAAUA
This 626-nucleotide small RNA is filed under the name Pontibacillus halophilus JSM 076056 = DSM 19796. The record is from RNAcentral. Lineage: Bacteria; Bacillati; Bacillota; Bacilli; Caryophanales; Bacillaceae.